CGUUAACGCUGGCGGUAGGCCUAACACAUGCAAGUCGAACGGCAGCACAGUAAGAGCUUGCUCUUACGGGUGGCGAGUGGCGGACGGGUGAGGAAUACAUCGGAAUCUACUUUUUCGUGGGGGAUAACGUAGGGAAACUUACGCUAAUACCGCAUACGACCUACGGGUGAAAGCAGGGGAUCUUCGGACCUUGCGCGAUUGAAUGAGCCGAUGUCGGAUUAGCUAGUUGGCGGGGUAAAGGCCCACCAAGGCGACGAUCCGUAGCUGGUCUGAGAGGAUGAUCAGCCACACUGGAACUGAGGCACGGUCCAGACUCCUACGGGAGGCAGCAGUGGGGAAUAUGGGACAAUGGGCGCAAGCCUGAUCCAGCCAUACCGCGUGGGUGAAGAAGGCCUUCGGGUUGUAAAGCCCUUGUGUGGGGAAAGAAAAGCAGCAGGUUAAUACCCCGCUGUUCUGACGGUACCCAAAGAAUAAGCACCGGCUAACUUCG
RNAcentral lists this ribosomal RNA (490 nucleotides) under uncultured bacterium. RNAcentral's name for it is "partial 16S ribosomal RNA". It matches the Rfam family "Bacterial small subunit ribosomal RNA", at positions 29 to 505 of the family's 1533-position model. The record is from RNAcentral.